RNAcentral lists this long non-coding RNA (6372 nucleotides) under Equus caballus (horse). RNAcentral's name for it is "lncRNA (ENSECAG00000044691.1)". The record is from RNAcentral. Lineage: Eukaryota; Metazoa; Chordata; Mammalia; Perissodactyla; Equidae.
GUGAUGGGAAGAAGGGGCCCUGGGGAUGCAGAUGGGAGGGGAGGCAGGAGCCCUGUGGGUUAGCAUGCCUUCAGGAGACUUCCUAAGAAGUUUCUGCUGCUGCUUCUUGAAGUCCAGCUGGUCUUAGUGGGCGCUGGCCCAGGAGAGCAUGGCUGGGCAGGAGCCUCCCCGAGGAUGCAGAGUCCCAGUGUGCACCCAUGGAGGUGGGCACAUGGCCCUAGGGUUCCAAGACACUUCAGGGGACAAGUGGUGGCUUCCGAGGACCAGGAUCUGGUACAGAGGGGCCCAAGGAGCCCACCCGGACGUCUCUGGGCGUCAGUGCCCCUUUGUUGGGUUUUUGCCAUCCCUGCCUGCCCCACCCUGUGACCAGGCUGCCUGGCCCCAGACAGGCGGCAGGCGGUCCAGGGGCACAGAGGGGCUGGGAGGCGGGGCAGCGCUCGAGGCAGCAACCCACAACCACACUCAGCCUCCUCGUCAGUGACCAGUGGGCCGCUGGAAGACGCAGAGGAGGGCGAAGGCGCGGGAGGGGCUGGGAGGGCGGAGGAGCAGCGGGCUGCUGAGUGUUUUCCUGCCAUGGGAGCUGCUGUGACCACGAGGAGGAGGAUGUGGCCCGAGCCCAGUGUUUCCUGCCUGAUAAGCCAGCCCCUCCCCGGGAGCCCGGCCGGGCCCACCUUCACGAAGAGCCCUGCCUAGGGAGGGGCUGGCUGAGGAGGAAAAUCACUUCUCCAGAUUAGCUGGCCCAGGCCGAGCCUUCCUCCCCCACCCCGGCCCCGGCCCUCCGCGCAGCAGCCACAGGAAAUGGGGCUGGGGCCCAGCACGCCCAGAGGUCCCCACCUUCAGAGCACUCAGGCUCCAGGCCCAGGCACUCCGGCCCGGCUCGGAGCCCCGGCGUCCAAGUCCCCCAGGAGCGGAAGCCGUCUUGCUCCAAAGUCAACCAUUUCCAAGGAGGGCAGGGACUGCAAAGCUUUCAUGUGCUUGUCAGAUCUCAUGCCUGGAGCUGGGGCCUAGAAAACUGGUCACUUUAUUUGCAUAGUCAGUCCACGCCCCAGCCCCCUCCCACCUGGCCACUGGUCCGAGGGCACAGAGUGCAGAGGGAGGUGGGCUUCGGAGGCCCCAUCCCAGGCUGGCACAGAGGGAAGGGCAGGGGCUGGCCCACUGGAGACCCAGCUCCCACCCUACUCUGCCCUAAUAGGCUGUGUGGCCCCCGUGAGUCCUGACCCUCUCUAAGUUUCGGCCGCAGCCUGCAACUGGAAGGGUGAGCCACAUAGGAGCUAAGGGCCUCCCAGCAUUCAUGAUUGGUGACUCAGGUCAUGGACUCAGGGCACUUCUAGGAGCAUCAGGGACUGUGGCCAUCCCUAAAAUAAGGACUGAGUUCCAGAGAAGGUAGAGGGGCUGCUCAGAGACACAUUCACAGACACAAGCCCCACCAGGACUGCAGGCCACUGACACUCAGGUGAGCCUCCCGCCACAACAGCAUGGCCCUGCACGGGCCCACUGCCCCGGGCAUUCCACCCCCAAGCCGUGGGUGCCACCUCUUUCCCACAGCCCAGACCUGCUUCUUGACUCGCUGUAAAGGCACCCCCUCCACCCUCACUGGGGAGCUGGCUCUUGGUAAGAAGCGUGCACAAAGGGAGUAUUUAACACCCAGCACAGAGAAGCACGUGCUCACCUGGGAGAAAACAUUUGCCUGGGUGUGGACAGGUCCCCGAAUGUGCUCAGGUAGUGUGCACGCUCCCAUAGAGGAGCAGGCAGCUCCUCUCCCUGUCACAGUGGGGGCGCGUUGCUGUUGACAGAAUGCUUUCGCAUUUGAUAUUUCAUGUGAUCCUUGCAGCAAUCCCGAUGGAGGUAUAAUUAUGCCCUUUCAUGGUGGCGAGGCUGAUGUUCAGGUGGGGCAAAGGGGCAGUGUAAGGUCACAUCUCUGGGAGGCAGAGACGAGGACCCCGCCCAUGGAGCAGAGGCAAGCUUGCUCUCCCCUGGUUCCUGCCCAGGUCCGUGGGCUGACUCCCAGCCUGCUCCUGGGUGAACAUCCACCCUCCACAGCUGAGCCUGCACAGCUGGUGGGCGGCUGGGAGGAAGGUGGGGCAUUCUCUGGGCAGCGAGACUGCCUGCAGCCCAGCCGAUGGCACAAAGCAGCCCUCCCUCGUCGGGAGUCUCCUGGUCAUGGGAGGCUUGAAUAUGGGAGAGGUGGGUAAAGGAAGGAAGAUUGGAGUCUAGGCCUUUACAUCUUAUGUUCUGCAAGGCUGGCCCAGCCGCUCGUCUGCUGGGUGACCUUGGGCAAGUCACUUUGCCUCUCUGGGCUUCUGUAAAUUAGGAGACCUGACUUGACAGUUUCCAGGGUCUAGAAUACCCUAGUUCUCUGAGCCUGUGAAAAGGGAGCAAGGAAAGAGGAGAGUUCCCCUCCUCUCUCCUCCUGGCCUCAGCGUGGGUGUGGUCUCUAGGGAGGUGGCAGAGGUGAGUGUCUCUGGGCGACGGGUCUCCCUGCACAGAGCUGGAGGGUGUGCUGGAGCUUCAGCUCCUGCAUCCAGGCCCUGAACACCUCCCCUGCCCAUGGCAUCAUCCACUCCUGCCUGCCGCCCAGCCUCUGUCGCUAGGUCAGGGCAUGAGGUCCCCAGACACCUGGCCUGGCUCCAUUCCCAUGUGUCACCAUGCCCCCGCUCACCUUCUUGGAGGUCUGCCCCACUUUGCCCGUGUCGCCUGAUCUCUCUCCCUCUCCCUACAGUGUGUUGGACUGAAUAGGAUGGAGCAAGAGGCCUUUGUCAUCUGAGUCCACCCUUGGAGGUCCUCACGUAACCUGGACCGCAGGAGCACCCUCCCAGCUGGGCAGGACCUGGUGCGGAGGCAGCAGCUGGUCUCCUGAGGGAGGCUGGGCCUUUGUGGCCCAUGGAGACUCCUGGACUCUGUCCUCCCAAUGCCACACUACUGUCCACCCCAGGCCCUCACCACAGUCCCUCACUGGCUGUCACCCUGAGCCUCUCCCCCUCCAAUCCAGCAAGAGGUUCCAUAAGGUACAUACAGAAAACUUGGAAAUACAGAGACGCAACAACAGAGACAGAGAGACAGAGAGAGGAAGAGAUUCCCUAUAAUCGCACGAUGCAAGGAUGCCUUCUGUCAACACUGUGUUGUGCUCCUUCUAGACUUUUUCUCCAGGUGUAUGUGUGGGCUCACACAAGUAUUUUUAAACUUUCAUUUUUUAAAUUUAUUUAUUUUUGCUGGCGAAGAUUGGCCCUGAGCUAACAUCUGUGCCCAUCUUCCUCUAUUUUGUAUGUAGGAUGCCACCACAGCAUGGCCACCAAAGAGUGGUGUUGGUCCACGCCCGGGCCACCGAAGCAGAGCACACCGAACUUAACCAAUAGGCCAGAGGCCCCUGAACUUUAUUGUAGAAUAUUGGGAUUACAUUGUUUCAUGAACUCGCUUUUUAAAAAACUGAAAAUGCAACCUGAAUAUGUUUGUGCAUCAAGGCACACCUCUUCCUGGGUGAUGAGCAUUCUGUUGUGGGCUCUUCUAGAAGUCCCUUUAUGUUCCCCAUGUGACCAGACCCCACGACCGCCCUGCAGUUUGCCCAAGAAGCCUGAGCUGCCCUCAGUGAGGACGUACCUCUUCUCCUCCAGAGCAGUUCAACUGCUCGUCACCCCUGACAAGCAAAGUCUAUGCUCCUGACCUUCCGUGGUUUCUCAGCCUUCAGCUGUGCCCCUUCCAGAAGCACAGCCGCCCCUAGGACUCCCUCCCGUGUAUGUUCCAGUCACCCCAGAAGCCUGUGGAGCUCUCUUUUCAGGGGUGCAUGCUGUGAAAAUAAGCAGGCAUUGUGUUCCCGUUCUGCAUGUAGGUUAUAUUCUUCCACUGAAUAGCAGUUUCACACGGCAUGUUCCCUGCUCUGCCGCAUCGUCUGGACCCCUUCCCACUCAGCUAGCUGCCAGUCAGCUCUGGGGGACAGGGCCCUCUGGCACAGGUAUGGCAGGCUCAGACGCAGGUGGUGAGGGACACAGGGAUGCUCACUUUCAAUGCCACUCGGAAUGGCCAGGAGGGAAGUGACUCGUCUGAGGGUUGCUCGGUGAGUCAGCAGCUUGGCCCGGCUGCCCUGAGAGUGCUGGGAAUCCGCCCCGGGCCCAGGGCUGCCAGGCCUCAGCCUCUGACGUGCACUGUCUUGCUCAGGGCGGAAACCUCUCUUCCUGGGAAGGAGGGGCAAAGGCCCUGGGGUGCCUCUGGGCCUGGAGAUGCCUCCCUCUGCUAGCCACUGCACAGGGGCUUUUGGGUGGCAUUUUCCUGUAUGUGUCUCCUGUGUCCAGCCAGACUGUGACUAUGCAGGACAUGGUCUUCCUGUCUCCUGUACCUUUCCAGGUUGAACCCUUGCCAGCCAACUGCUGCCAGGGACAGAAAGUGUGCACAGAGGGCAGAGACUUGGGCCUGGCUCUCAGCAAUCCAGUAGCUAGAUGUGAGACCCAGGUGUUCUGUGCCAUUGAUGUGGCAGAUCAAAGAUGGCUAAAAAUACUCUGUCAUCCCUGCACUGAGAGACAACUAUCAGCUCCUGCUUGCAACCAGCCUCCAUGUUGUGAGGAAGCCCAAGCAGCCAUGUGGAGAGGCCCAUGUGGAGAAUCUAGGCUCCAAGUCAACAGUCUCAGCUGACCUCCCCGUCAACAGCCAGCAUCAACUUGCCAGCCAUGGAGGUCAAGCAUCUUGGAAGUCGAUCCUUCAGCCCGACUUGAGCUGUCCUAGCUGAUGCCACGUGGCGCAGAGACAAGCUGUCCACAGGAGCCCUGCCCGUACUGCUAAAUCAUGAUUGCUGUUGUUUUAAGCCACUAAGUUUGGGGCCAGUUUGUUAUGCAGCAACAGAUACCUGAAACAGAGCUAGUGCUGGAACAUGGGAACUCAAAGAUGGAGACAUGUGUCUUAGCCUACGUUCCUCUCAGAAGCAGACCUCACUCAAAGGUUUGCUUGCAGUGUGUGGUUUCUUUGGGAAGUGAUCUCAGAGAGCAGGAAUGAAGACCAAAGACAGGAAGUUAGAAAAGCCAAUUUGAGGUUUGUCCCUGUGUCGUCCACCACUCCUGGUGAUUGGUGCUUGAUCCCACUGGGGUCUUCUGAGGAGCCCCAUAGAGCGAGUCUCAGAACUCUCUGCAUGAGGGAUGAAAGGGAGAAGCAUUCAGGAAGGCGGGCUCCAAACUGCCAUUGACCAGGCUGCUUCAUGGGAUGUUAAACCCCCUGCACUUCUAGGAUGUAUAUGUGUGAAUGUCACACUGGUUCCUGACGGUGCUGCAUGCUGUGACGUCAGAGAAGUCCCCUCGCAGGAAGCAGAAGACAUCUGGCAUAUGCUGGAGAUGAGGUGUUGUCAGGAUGCGGUGGACAAAAUCUGCACAAGGACAGUUUUCUGUAGCCUUGGCUGGAGCCAGAGGUGAGGCCGUGAGAAUGGGAGGUGGCCCAUAAGAGGUAUCCAGGAUGACAUGGACCUUUGAGAAACUGGCCAUGUUGCCCCUUCUCAGCAUGUGGGCAGUGGCUAUUCCAUGAAGCUGUCAGGCUAUCUUGGUUGUGCUGAAGGCUGGAGUUAUUCUAGGCUUUGCAUCCCAACCACCAGCAAUCUCCUGGUUCAGAGUUUGAAAUUGAGUCUCUUCCCCAUGCCUAAGACAUCCACCUGGUAUUGUCCUCGGCACAGUAGCUACUGGCCCAAGUGAGUGCUUGUUGCAAAGAGUUUCGAGCAGCACUGCCCAACUUUCCCCAAUAGCUCUGUCCUUGUUAGAAAAGUUCCAAGGCCUUUGUCCACCUGUCUGGCCUAAAUCGUUCACAAAAACAUUAGAGGCAUUUGGAGUCUUCCAAAAGAAAACACCUCAGGCCAGCUUACAGGAGAGCCUCUGGGCAAUUUCAAGCUAUUCCUCUGUGGCAGGGGUCAUGGAGACGGCAUUUCCAGAUUCGGCUGGAAAUCUGAAACUCAUAGGAAGGACGACCUCCUGAGAAACUCUUCUGGGAUGAUGGGGCCUGGAGAACAUGGUCUUACUGUAUCAGGUUCAGCAAGCUAGGUCCCUGUUCUCGCUCUGGCCCAGGUGCCAUGGAACCUUGGCUGGAAGCCACGUUGCCACGUUCUUAGGAUGCUGGAGCAGGAAGGCGCCUCAGAAAGGAUACACGGGUUACCUACUCCUUACCUAAAAAAUGUCGGCACUGGGAAUGGCCUCUGCUUCCUCAGCCUUUUGAGUAGGUAUAAAAGAACUUUACAGAAAAUGUCAGAAAGCCCUUUGGGCUCUUUGGAGGACAUUUUACAAGUAUUACUGUGAAGAACUAUAAUAAUAAAACAUUAAUGGUGGACAGAAGUUUGGACUGAAUGCAUUUUAUGGGAGACGCCCUAUUGAGCGAGUGGGAAUGAUGACACUGCUGUUGGGUGACGUUUUCUCA